AUUGAACGCUGGCGGCAGGCCUAACACAUGCAAGUCGAACGGAGUGGAGGACGGGUGAGUAAUGUAUGGGAAACUGCCUGAUGGAGGGGGAUAAGUACUGGAAACGGUAGCUAAUACCGCAUACUACCAGAUCGGCCUAGGUCGGAUUAGCUAGUUGGUGGGGUAAAGGCCUACCAAGGCGACGAUCCGUAACUGGUCUGAGAGGAUGAUCAGGCACACUGGAACUGAGACACGGUCCAGACUCCUACGGGAGGCAGCAGUGGGGAAUAUUGGACAAUGGGCGAAAGCCUGAUCCAGCCAUGCCGCGUGUGUGAAGAAGGUCUUCGGAUUGUAAAGCACUGUAAGUUGGGAGGCGUUACCAACAGAAUAAGCACCGGCUAACUUCGUGCCAGCAGCCGCGGUAAUAC
Molecule: ribosomal RNA, 407 nt
Filed under: uncultured bacterium
Lineage: Bacteria
Description: partial 16S ribosomal RNA
Rfam family: Bacterial small subunit ribosomal RNA
Source: RNAcentral